This 347-nucleotide ribosomal RNA is filed under the name Lophyrotoma analis. RNAcentral describes it as "partial 16S ribosomal RNA". Lineage: Eukaryota; Metazoa; Arthropoda; Insecta; Hymenoptera; Pergidae. The record is from RNAcentral.
AUAAUAAAUAGUCUUUUAAUUGAAGGCUGGUAUGAAAGAUUGGACGAGAUAAUUACUGUCUCAUUUUAAUUUAUUAUUGAAUUUUAUUUUUAAGUUAAAAAGCUUAAAUUUAAUUAAAGGACGAGAAGACCCUAUAGAGCUUUAUAUUUAUUUAGUAAUUUUUAAAAAUUUUAUAAUUAUUUUAUAUAAGUAUUUUAUUGGGGCGAUAAUAAAAUUUAUUAAACUUUUUUAAUUUUAAAACAUAAAUUAAUGAAUUUUUGAUCCUAAUUUUUAGAUUAAUAGAUUAAGUUACCUUAGGGAUAACAGCGUUAUUUUUUUAUUAAGUUCUUAUUAAUGAAAGAGUUUGC